CCCUUAGAUGUCCUGGGCCGCACGCGCGCUACACUGACAUGUUCAACAAGCCUCCUAGUUCGACAGGAUUUGGGAAAUCUUUGAACGCAUGUCGUGAUAGGGAUAGAUCAUUGCAAUUAUUGAUCUUGAACGAGGAAUUCCUAGUAAACGCGAGUCAUCAGCUCGCAUUGAUUACGUCCCUGCCCUUUGUACACACCGCCCGUCGCACCUACCGAUUGAAUGUUUCGGUGAAGAUUCCGGAUAGGACUUUUUUGAUUUAUUUCAAUUUUGUCUUAAAAGCUACCUAAACCUCAACAUUUAGAGGAAGGUGAAGUCGUAACA
This 321-nucleotide ribosomal RNA is filed under the name uncultured eukaryote. Its description in RNAcentral is "partial 18S ribosomal RNA". It matches the Rfam family "Eukaryotic small subunit ribosomal RNA", at positions 1470 to 1796 of the family's 1831-position model. The record is from RNAcentral.